This 312-nucleotide ribosomal RNA is filed under the name Triticum aestivum (bread wheat). Its description in RNAcentral is "partial small subunit ribosomal RNA". The record is from RNAcentral. Lineage: Eukaryota; Viridiplantae; Streptophyta; Magnoliopsida; Poales; Poaceae.
AUGAAAAUCACAAAAAAAAUGUUUGUUUCUCUGCCUUUUGUACUAAUGGAGAGGGAAAGUCACAAAAAAAUGUUUGUUUUUAGGGUCGAGCAGUCAGUUGGUUUGUUGCUCACUCAGAAAUGUUUUUGGUUUUGGGGGGUUCGAUGUGUACAUUGUGCAUCAGCAUACACUGCUAGCUGCCCGUGGAGAUCAGCACUAAAGAAUAAACAAAUCCUGAAGGAGGGGCCCAGCCUUCUUCACGGCUCGCAGCAAUGUCUCCCAUUGAUUCGUUCGUGCAACAAGGAGAGGACCUGUAACAUCCCAAAAUUCUAA